CCUCCUCCUGCUCUCCUCCUCCUCCUCCUCCUCCUCCUCCUCCUCCUCCUCCUCCUCCUCCUCCUCCUCCUCCUCCUCCUCCUCCUCCACUGAGAAAAAUGAAAUGCUUUAUUUUGUUAACUCUAUUUUUCUAGUGUAAAUAAAACGAUGAUUGUAUGAAGUGACCUUAACCUGCAGAGCAGCCGUUUGAAUACAGACUCUGAUCUAAAGACUCUUCCACCAAGAAGCCUUCAGCAGGAAACGAACCAAAGACAACCUGACCUCCACAGGUGAGAGGGUCGACCUCCACAGGUGAGAGGGUCGACCUCCACAGGUGAGAGGGUCGACCUCCACAGGUGAGAGGGUCCUCCUCCACAGGUGAGAGGGUCCUCCUCCACAGGUGAGAGGGUCCUCCUCCACAGGUGAGAGGGUCCUCCUCCACAGGUGAGAGGGUCGACCUCCACAGGUGAGAGGGUCGACCUCCACAGGUGAGAGGGUCGUCCUCCACAGGUGAGAGGGUCCUCCUCCACAGGUGAGAGGGUCGACCUCCACAGGUGAGAGGGUCCUCCUCCACAGGUGAGAGGGUCCUCCUCCACAGGUGAGAGGGUCGACCUCCACAGGUGAGAGGGUCGACCUCCACAGGUGAGAGGGUCGACCUCCACAGGUGAGAGGGUCCUCCUCCACAGGUGAGAGGGUCGACCUCCACAGGUGAGAGGGUCGUCCUCCACAGGUGAGAGGGUCGACCUCCACAGGUGAGAGGGUCGACCUCCACAGGUGAGAGGGUCGACCUCCACAGGUGAGAGGGUCGACCUCCACAGGUGAGAGGGUCCUCCUCCACAGGUGAGAGGGUCGACCUCCACAGGUGAGAGGGUCCUCCUCCACAGGUGAGAGGGUCCGCCUCCACAGGUGAGAGGGUCCUCCUCCACAGGUGAGAGGGUCCUCCUCCACAGGUGAGAGGGUCGACCUCCACAGGUGAGAGGGUCGACCUCCACAGGUGAGAGGGUCCUCCUCCACAGGUGAGAGGGUCCUCCUCCACAGGUGAGAGGGUCGACCUCCACAGGUGAGAGGGUCCUCCUCCACAGGUGAGAGGGUCCUCCUCCACAGGUGAGAGGGUCGACCUCCACAGGUGAGAGGGUCGACCUCCACAGGUGAGAGGGUCGACCUCCACAGGUGAGAGGGUCCUCCUCCACAGGUGAGAGGGUCGACCUCCACAGGUGAGAGGGUCGUCCUCCACAGGUGAGAGGGUCGACCUCCACAGGUGAGAGGGUCCUCCUCCACAGGUGAGGGUUAACGUCACAGCGCCUUUAACCCACUGUGAAAUACACAGGCCGUCAUCUUAUUGGUUUACACAGAGCUGCAGGAUGUGUUGGUCCCUGAAGGCAGCAUCUCCUGGUCCAAUGGGAUUCCUCCAUGUGAUUUUGAAUUAUGUCAUAAAAUAAUCUGUGUCAAACAAACGAUUAUCAGCUCAACAUCAACGAUUCAUUUAUUUAUAAUCUGAUCAUUAUUUCUUACAUUUAAUUCAUCGUUUUACAAAAACGUCCGACGUCACGCCUUUAAAACCAAAGAGAUAUUUAUAUUUACUCUAAAAGGGAAUCAUCUAGAAUUAAAACUCAAGCUGUAGUUUGUAAAGACGGUUCGGGUUAAAAAGAACAAUAUUUCCUAGUGAUUGGUUAAUUGACGAAUCACUGCGUUCUCUAAUUGAUCUAAUUGGAAAUCACAAACUAUUCUGGUAUCUCUGGAAUAAAGUAGGACUGCGUGUUUGGGAUAUAGGACGUAUCACGGAGCCGGGAUUAUAUCUGGAGAAACGCUAUUUUUAAAAAGGUUAAAUCUAACGGAUAAAUUCACAAAUGUACGACAACGAAAAUAAUAUUCUCUGGUUAUAAAGUGGAGGCGUGCUGCGAUGUCGUUUUGGACAAAAAGAUCCACAAUUUCGGCCUUUUUUUCUUCUGCAUUUAAGACGUAAAUCUUAAUUGUUUUUUUACUUUUAAAUCUCAGAGAAUAUUCAAGCUUUUCUCCAAAUAGUUCCCGCGUCCUCUGGCUCUGUCCUCUUCUAUCUAACAAUGGUCAUGGUUUGCUGCUAUAAAAAACGUUUGUAUAAUUUACAAUUUGACUAAAACGUGUAUAAAUUCCACUUUCCUCCUGAAAUGUGAGGAAGUGAUGGAUUCUAAUCCCAUCACAAAAGGACUUGAUACACAUUUAGACACACGGGAGAUGUUUCCCUCACACCAACACAUAGAGGUUUCCCACUGCUUCCUGUCUCUAUGCUAAGCUAAGCUAGCAUUUACUUCCUCACAUUUGUAUUCUGAGGGUUUUAGGGAUUUUAUAUUGUGUAGUUGUCCGGUGUCUUUAGACUUACCUUUGUGCCUAAAUGAAGGGAAAUAAAGGAUUCAGGAAUAAGGGAUUCUUUCCAGUGUAGAGGAGCGUCCUCAUGUUGGGAAAUAACUGAGCUUUACGCUUUUAUUUCCCCACAAUCUCCUCCUCAGUUUCCUGGAAAGAAGUAACCAUAAAGAAAAGUGAGAUAAGGAAGGGAAAGAGCUACAGAACAUGUAACAGACCGCCAUCUUCUCAUCUGAAUCUGAAAAUGUUGGACUGUUCCUGUGAAUGUUCUUUCAUGGAAACAACAGAUUUCCCAGUCUGUCGUUUAUCCAGUUCAGAUUUAACCCCACUCACUUCCACACGACGACAGCAUCGACACCGCAGCCUUUACGUAGGACAUUUGAAGAAGAUGAACAUAUCUCUUUUUAAAUCUGAUCAGUGUUGCAGAGCUCAGUUAGUCAUAUUUUAAAAAUAAUGUAGGUAGGUAGGUAGAUGGAUAGGUAGAUAGAAAUAUGGAUAGGUAGAUAGAAAGAUAGAUAGAUAGAUAGAUAGAUAGAUAGAUAGAUUGGUAGAUGGAAAGAUAGAUAGAAAGAUGGGUAGGUAGAUAGAAAGAUAGAAAGAUGGAUAGAUGGAUAGAUAGAAAGAUUGGUAGAUGGAUAGAUGGGUAGAUAGAUGGAUGGAUAGGUAGAAAGAUGGAUAGAUGGAUAGAAAGAUGGAUGGAUGGGUGGAUAGAUGGAUGGAUAGGUAGACAGAUGGAUAGAUAUAUGGAUAGGUAGAUAGAUGGAUGGAUAGGUAGACAGAUGGAUAGAUAUAUGGAUAGGUAGAUAGAUGGAUGGAUAGGUAGGUAGAUGGAUAGAUGGAUAGAAAGAUGGAUGGAUGGAUAGGUAGAUGGAUGGAUAGGUAGACAGAUGGAUAGAUAUAUGGAUAGGUAGAUAGAUGGAUGGAUAGGUAGGUAGGCAGAUAGAUAGUAAAGUCAGUAAAUAUACCUAUAUUAGGAGGAGUAUCUAAACAUUGUAAAAUAUACAGAAUACAUUAUAAUUCUCUAAUAUACCAAUCUACUGAUCAUAUAAACUACUCCGUUAUUAUAUAUUAAAAAUACUAGCAAACAUCUGUAGGCUAACCGCUCGUAUUGUAGAACAAGUACUGUAUCUGAGUUUUUGUUCUUUCUUACUUUCCAGCCCUUUGUGUUCAGAAACACUUCAUUGAUCACAUUUGGUGCCAAUAUGGUGUUUUCUCCCAGGCUAGAGUAGAGGUGAUGUUACUGCUCGUUAACAUACAGACGUUCUCGUUGUACGUCCGUGGCUUUGUGGGGAAAGGGCUGUGGUUGAAUCUGAACUGGGAGCAACCGACGCUUCUGAUCGGUUUCCCAGCAGACCGUCUCGGCCUGGAGCUUUUUGGUUGGACUUUGUGUCUUGUUUGAACUCUGAUUGCACUAAUCUGUUGAUGCCGAAAUAUGUUUGAACUCUAGGCGACUUGUUUGGGUCGAGGAAGUUAUUCUAGAGAUAUUUUGUGUCCUUUUUUUCUUUGUUUUUCUUCAGUUGUUGUUGUGAGAUCAUUAAGGUUUAUUUUUGUUGUGAAUAUUUUAGAUUUGUUGUGGAAUGAUGGUCUGUGUUUACAGCCUUGGGAUCACACAACUGUAGUUUCGGCCUUUAAGCAGGUUCAUCUGUAUCGCUGUGUUUCAGGUGUGGAACAUUAAGUUACGCUGCACUUUGAUUCGUCUAUUCACCUCAUUAAGCCCCGCCCCUUUUCCCACUUCCUGUUCAAAUGCUUAUCUCUUAGUUCUUCCUGUUAGCACUAGCAGCGUUGUAAGAACUUUGACAUUUUUUUUAAAAACACAGAAUUAAGAGAAACAUUGGAAUUUUCUGAUUUUCAGAAAAAGGGCCAGUUAUGAGAUUUUCAAAUAAAAAGGUAAAUGUUGUGAUGUAAAAAUGAAGUCAUGAAUUUUGAGAAAUUGAAAGUCAAAAUUUGAGGUAAAAAUGAUUGGAAACUAUUUAUAUUCUGUACAAACUGAAGUCCACUGAGACAAAUGUAACAUUUGUCUCAGUGGACUUUUUGUAACAUUUGUGAUAUUGGGCUAUAAAUAAAAAUGGAUUGAUUGAUAGAAGUCAGAAUUUUUGAAAAGUCUGAAUUUUGAGAAAUUAAAAAAAAAAAAUCUAUUUGAAGAAAAAGUCAAAACAAAUUUGAAAAGUCAGCAAUUUCACAUUUUUGGAAAAAAAUAAUUUUUUGCAGAAAAAAUGAAAAAAGUAAAUGUUU
This is a long non-coding RNA of Gymnodraco acuticeps, 4548 nucleotides long. RefSeq lists it as uncharacterized. Lineage: Eukaryota; Metazoa; Chordata; Actinopteri; Perciformes; Bathydraconidae. The transcript is spliced from 2 exons. The record is from RefSeq and is a predicted model, not a curated record.